CUUAUGAAUUACUGAAUAGCCUUCAAUUUUUUGGACAACAUUCAAUCCUUGCAUUAACUUUCCAUGCAUCCACCGAAAAGAAAGAGGCAGAAAUUGUGUUAUAUACCCUGUUCUUGCAAAACCAUGCGUACACUGUAGAUCCAGAGGGGGAUAUUUAUCAAGUGGUCUGCAACUGUCUUUGAAGUGAUCUGAGGAGUGAUGGUUUUCUUCCUGGUAAAUUAAACAGUUGUUCUAGUUUAGUACACCCCACAGAACCCUAAAGAUCAAACAGUUCUGCCACUAAUUUUACAAGGUUGGUAUUCAGAGAUUUAUUCUGUUCUGUCCUCUGUAUUCAGUCUCACAAUUGGUUAAUCAAUCAGAAGUUUGCCAGGCAUGCAUGAUGGACUUGGCAGCAGGCACGGUGUCUAGUUACUAUUUUGAAAUCUUGCCUAUCAAAAUCAUUUAUCCAGCCAUGGCCGGAUCAUUGG
This is a non-coding RNA of Pelobates cultripes (western spadefoot toad), 467 nucleotides long. The record is from the annotation of a GenBank genome assembly. NCBI's taxonomy places the organism in Eukaryota, Metazoa, Chordata, Amphibia, Anura, Pelobatidae.